This 301-nucleotide small RNA is filed under the name Urocitellus parryii (Arctic ground squirrel). RNAcentral describes it as "7SK RNA (ENSUPAG00010009487.1)". It matches the Rfam family "7SK RNA", at positions 1 to 255 of the family's 331-position model. From Rfam's summary of the family: 7SK was discovered as an abundant small nuclear RNA in the mid-70s but a possible function has only recently been suggested. Two independent studies have found that 7SK RNA binds the CDK9/cyclin T complex (known as elongation factor P-TEFb). The record is from RNAcentral. Lineage: Eukaryota; Metazoa; Chordata; Mammalia; Rodentia; Sciuridae.
GAAUGUGAGGGAAAUCUGGCUUUGACAUCUGUCACCUCAUUGAUUGAUUGCCAGGGUUGAUUCCGCUAUCUGGCUGGCUAGGCCAGUGUCCCCUUCCUCAUUCACUGUUCCAUGUGUGUCCCUCAUGAAGUUGCAGUGCUUGGUCUCAGAGGACAACCUUCCUCUAUAGGGGAGGACUAUUCUUCUGCCAAGGGUGUAAGAGUAGCUAUGCUCCCUUGCUAGAACCUCCAAACAAGCUCUCAAGGUCCAAAUCACUUACCGAUUUUUAGAAAUUAUUGCUAUGAUAUUGUGUUUUCAGAAG